This 884-nucleotide ribosomal RNA is filed under the name uncultured bacterium. RNAcentral's name for it is "bacterial SSU rRNA". It matches the Rfam family "Bacterial small subunit ribosomal RNA", at positions 14 to 894 of the family's 1533-position model. The record is from RNAcentral.
GGAUCCUGGCUCAGGAUGAACGCUAGCGGCAGGCUUAAUACAUGCAAGUCGAGGGGCAGCAGGCUGUAGCAAUACAGUGCUGGCGACCGGCAAACGGGUGCGGAACACGUACACAACCUUCCUUUAAGCGGGGAAUAGCCCGGGGAAACUCGGAUUAAUACCCCAUAGUAUGGCGAGGAGGCAUCUCCUUGCUCUUAAAGAUUUAUCACUUGAAGAUGGGUGUGCGGCUGAUUAGGUAGUUGGCGGGGUAACGGCCCACCAAGCCUACGAUCAGUAACUGGUGUGAGAGCACGACCAGUCACACGGGCACUGAGACACGGGCCCGACUCCUACGGGAGGCAGCAGUAAGGAAUAUUGGUCAAUGGACGAAAGUCUGAACCAGCCAUGCCGCGUGGAGGAUGAAGGUCCUCUGGAUUGUAAACUUCUUUUAUAUGGGACGAAAAAAGGGUUUUCUAACUCGUCUGACGGUACCAUAUGAAUAAGCACCGGCUAACUCCGUGCCAGCAGCCGCGGUAAUACGGAGGGUGCAAGCGUUAUCCGGAUUCACUGGGUUUAAAGGGUGCGUAGGUGGGUUGGUAAGUCAGUGGUGAAAUCCCCGAGCUUAACUUGGGAACUGCCAUUGAUACUAUCAGUCUUGAAUACCGUGGAGGUCAGCGGAAUAUGUCAUGUAGCGGUGAAAUGCUUAGAUAUGACAUAGAACACCAAUUGCGAAGGCAGCUGGCUACACGAAUAUUGACACUGAGGCACGAAAGCGUGGGGAUCAAACAGGAUUAGAUACCCUGGUAGUCCACGCCCUAAACUAUGGAUACUCGACAUCAGCGAUACACUGUUGGUGUCUGAGCGAAAGCAUUAAGUAUCCCACCUGGGAAGUACGAUCGCAAGAU